Molecule: ribosomal RNA, 253 nt
Filed under: uncultured bacterium
Lineage: Bacteria
Description: partial 16S ribosomal RNA
Rfam family: Bacterial small subunit ribosomal RNA
Source: RNAcentral
UACAGAGGUCUCAAGCGUUGUUCGGAUUCAUUGGGCGUAAAGGGUGCGUAGGUGGCGCUGUAAGUCGGGUGUGAAAUUUCGGAGCUUAACUCCGAAACUGCAUUCGAUACUGCGGUGCUUGAGGACUGGAGAGGAGACUGGAAUUCAUGGUGUAGCAGUGAAAUGCGUAGAGAUCAUGAGGAAGACCAGUGGCGAAGGCGGCUCUCUGGACCGACACUGACGCUGAGGCGCGAAAGCGUGGGGAGCAAACAGG